GGUCGGGCCUGGUUAGUACUUGGAUGGGAGACCGCCUGGGAAUACCAGGUGCUACAGCAGACAUGCAUGCUCCAUCGCGUCACUGGCAUGUCAGACUGACAGGACAAUCAUGAUGACAUAUCUGAAACACAUUUCUUCUCAGUAAAAAUAUUUUCAAACCCAUUUUGGACCGGCAACAUAUUCACCUUCUCAUUUAUGAUGAUGAUGAUGAUGAUGAUGAUGUGGACGACGAAUAUACUGUGUGUGGCACGGGAAAAUGUACGUGAUGUUUUCAGUUACUUGUGAAGAAAAUAAUCAGAAAAUAAUAAAUAAGUGAAGUAAAUAAA
Molecule: long non-coding RNA, 326 nt
Organism: Mugil cephalus (flathead mullet)
Lineage: Eukaryota; Metazoa; Chordata; Actinopteri; Mugiliformes; Mugilidae
Exons: 2
Source: RefSeq, a predicted model, not a curated record